RNAcentral lists this transfer RNA (85 nucleotides) under Felis catus (domestic cat). It matches the Rfam family "tRNA". Rfam says of the family: Transfer RNA (tRNA) molecules are approximately 80 nucleotides in length. Their secondary structure includes four short double-helical elements and three loops (D, anti-codon, and T loops). The record is from Rfam by way of RNAcentral. Lineage: Eukaryota; Metazoa; Chordata; Mammalia; Carnivora; Felidae.
GCCUGGGUGGCUCAGUCAGUUGAGCGUCUGACUUCGGCUCAGGUCACGAUCUCGUGGUCUGUGAGUUCGAGCCCCGCGUCGGGCU